UACGUAGGGGGCUAGCGUUGUCCGGAAUCAUUGGGCGUAAAGAGCGUGUAGGCGGUCCGGUAAGUCCGCUGUGAAAGUCGGGGGCUCAACCCUCGAAUGCCGGUGGAUACUGUCGGGCUAGAGUGCGGAAGAGGCGAGUGGAAUUCCUGGUGUAGCGGUGAAAUGCGUAGAUAUCGGAAGGAACACCAGUGGCGAAAGCGGCUUCCUGGUCCAGCACCGACGUUCAGGCACGAAAGCGUGGGGAGCAAACAGG
This 253-nucleotide ribosomal RNA is filed under the name uncultured bacterium. RNAcentral's name for it is "partial 16S ribosomal RNA". It matches the Rfam family "Bacterial small subunit ribosomal RNA", at positions 524 to 776 of the family's 1533-position model. The record is from RNAcentral.